AAAUCCUGGGUGGGGACAGGGAGCACCCCAAAUCCUGGGUGGGGACAGGGAGCAUCCCAAAUCCUGAGAUGGGGACAUGUGGUGACUGCAGGCACACUGGCCAUUCCCACAGGACCCCCCAGGCGGAUGUGGGUCCCCCCCAGCAGGGCGUUUGCAGCCGCUGUCCCCGGUGUGUGGCCCAGAGCCCCGUCCAGCCCUGCCCUGCUGUCACUCCCGUCGCCCACGGGGCAGCGGCCGUGCCGGAGCGCGGCCCCGCGCAGGCACACCGGGGAUCCCCGGGGCUCACCCGUGCGUCCCGCUGUCCGUCUGUCCCCAGGGCUCGGCUACCCCCUGUUCCCCGCCGCCAGCCUGGGCCGCGCCCUGGCCACCAAGACGCCGCCGCCACUGUUCCUGGGGACCGAGGGCCGGCGCGGGGACAGCCAGGGCGGCCUGGCCGGCGGCCGGAGCGCCGGCACCGCGGCGCGGCCGCUGUACCCCGCCCUGCAGACGCUGAGCCCGGGCAGCUCCGGCCUCCCGAGCCACGGCCUGGCCGGAUUCCCCUUCCUCAGCCCGGCCCUGGCGGGUGAGUGGCGCUGCCCCAGCCUUGUCCCCUCCCUGGUCACCCCCUCCCACUCACUCUGUGCUCCCACCCCGCAGAUUUUGGGCCUGGGGAGGUCCCGGCGCCCCCCGGAUUCCUGCAGCCCCCCCAGGCCUGGCAGCACCCCCGGGACGUGGCAGUGCUGGGGUGAGGAGGGCUGGGGACAGGACAGGGGGACAGGACAGGGGACAGGGUGGGGACAGGGUGGGGAUAGGGGGGACACGGCUGGGGAGAGGCAGGGCAGAGGACAGGGCAGGGGAUGGGGGGCUACAGGGGGGACAGGGUGGGGACAGGACAGGACAGGGGGGACAGGACAGGGGACAGGGGGGACAGGACAGGGGACAGGGGGGACAGGACAGGGGGGACAGGACAGGGGGGACAGGGCAGGGGACAGGGGGGACAGGGUAGGGACAGGGUGGGGACAGGGUGGGGAUAGGGGGGACAUGGCUGGGGACAGAGUGGGGACAGGCAUGGCCCUGGGGUGGGGACAGGGCCGGGGACAGGACAGGACAAGGGGGAACAGGGCAGGCAGGACAUGGCCUCGCUGGGGUAAGGGCAGGGGUGGCCCUGGGACAGGGAACAGUGGGCCAAGGCGAGGGUGACCCCAUUCUGCUGCACCCACGGCUGUCCCCUCCCAGCCAUGGGCAGCACCGAGGGGCAGCCCCCCACCCACCGGCUGCUCUUGGGGGUCAGCCCGAAGCACCCCCAGAUUAUUUCCAGCCGGGUUCCCCCUUGGACCUUGUCCCCAUGUCCCCCCCAGCAGCUGUGUGGGGCCAGAACCAGCCCAGGACAGGAACUGGGAGGGUCUCAACCCCUCUCGGGGUGACAAGGGGACACGGGGACAGUCCCUCACCCGUGCCCUGUCGCCGCAGGGCCAGCAGCCGGAUGGUCCCCGCGGAGGAGCCAG
RNAcentral lists this long non-coding RNA (1484 nucleotides) under Junco hyemalis (dark-eyed junco). Its description in RNAcentral is "lncRNA (ENSJHYG00000005514.1)". The record is from RNAcentral. Lineage: Eukaryota; Metazoa; Chordata; Aves; Passeriformes; Passerellidae.